CACCGACAAAGGCAAACCAGUCGAAAGGCUGGGACGCAAAGCUAAAGGGCCUGUUAUAUGGCAGCCAGCUACCGAA
Molecule: non-coding RNA, 76 nt
Filed under: Acidaminobacter hydrogenoformans DSM 2784
Lineage: Bacteria; Bacillati; Bacillota; Clostridia; Peptostreptococcales; Acidaminobacteraceae
Description: GEMM cis-regulatory element
Rfam family: c-di-GMP-I-GGC riboswitch aptamer
Source: RNAcentral